Small nucleolar RNA from Dendrobium catenatum, 107 nucleotides. NCBI's taxonomy places the organism in Eukaryota, Viridiplantae, Streptophyta, Magnoliopsida, Asparagales, Orchidaceae. The record is from RefSeq and is a predicted model, not a curated record.
AAGGUAUGGUGAGGACACUUUCUAACCAUAUCCUUGAAUCUCUCUCAACUCUCAUAAAUAAAUUCUCCUUCUAACCGAGUAAAAGAAGUAAUGUCUUUUCUAAGCUU